GUGAAUCAUCGAAUCUUUGAACGCACAUUGCACUCUCUGGUAUUCCGGAGAGUAUGCCUGUUUGAGGGUCAGUUUUAAUAAAAAUCGGUGUGGUUGCUGCCUUUCGUGGUGACGCACCGGAUCUGGGUCGCCUUGCCUUCGGUUAAGUGACCUAACAUCUUGCAUGAUUUUUUAGAACGUAUUUAAAUGAUCUUACGUCCGUUUGCGAUAUCGAAUACUAGGUGCGGCUAUCC
This 233-nucleotide unclassified non-coding RNA is filed under the name Glomus sp. RNAcentral describes it as "partial contains 5.8S ribosomal RNA and internal transcribed spacer 2". The stretch from base 1 to 71 matches the Rfam family "5.8S ribosomal RNA", at positions 84 to 154 of the family's 154-position model. The record is from RNAcentral. Lineage: Eukaryota; Fungi; Glomeromycota; Glomeromycetes; Glomerales; Glomeraceae.